GAUGAAGAACGUAGCGAAACGCGAUAUGUAAUGUGAAUUGCAGAAUUCAGUGAAUCAUCGAAUCUUUGAACGCACAUGGCGCCUUCCAGUAUCCUGGGAGGCAUGCCUGUCCGAGCGUCGUUUCAACCCUCGAGCCCCCGUGGCCCGGCGUUGGGGAUCUGCCCAGGCAGUCCCCGAAAACCAGUGGCGGACCCGUUACAGGCCCUUCCCUUGCGUAGUAGCAUUCGCCUCGCAUCGGGAGCCGGCGGGCUUCCAGCCUCUAAACCCCCAUCAAGUCCGCCCCGGCGGCACCAAGGUUGACCUCGGAUCAGGUAGGAAUACCCGCUGAACUUAAGCAUAUUAAUAAGCGGAGGA
RNAcentral lists this unclassified non-coding RNA (354 nucleotides) under soil metagenome. RNAcentral's name for it is "partial contains 5.8S ribosomal RNA, internal transcribed spacer 2, and large subunit ribosomal RNA". The stretch from base 1 to 120 matches the Rfam family "5.8S ribosomal RNA", at positions 35 to 154 of the family's 154-position model. The record is from RNAcentral.